ACAUGCAAGUCGAGCGGUAGAGAGAAGCUUGCUUCUCUUGAGAGCGGCGGACGGGUGAGUAAUGCCUAGGAAUCUGCCUGGUAGUGGGGGAUAACGUUCGGAAACGGACGCUAAUACCGCAUACGUCCUACGGGAGAAAGCAGGGGACCUUCGGGCCUUGCGCUAUCAGAUGAGCCUAGGUCGGAUUAGCUAGUUGGUGAGGUAAUGGCUCACCAAGGCGACGAUCCGUAACUGGUCUGAGAGGAUGAUCAGUCACACUGGAACUGAGACACGGUCCAGACUCCUACGGGAGGCAGCAGUGGGGAAUAUUGGACAAUGGGCGAAAGCCUGAUCCAGCCAUGCCGCGUGUGUGAAGAAGGUCUUCGGAUUGUAAAGCACUUUAAGUUGGGAGGAAGGGCAGUUGCCUAAUACGUAACUGUUUUGACGUUACCGACAGAAUAAGCACCGGCUAACUCUGUGCCAGCAGCCGCGGUAAUACAGAGGGUGCAAGCGUUAAUCGGAAUUACUGGGCGUAAAGCGCGCGUAGGUGGUUUGUUAAGUUGGAUGUGAAAUCCCCGGGCUCAACCUGGGAACUGCAUUCAAAACUGACUGACUAGAGUAUGGUAGAGGGUGGUGGAAUUUCCUGUGUAGCGGUGAAAUGCGUAGAUAUAGGAAGGAACACCAGUGGCGAAGGCGACCACCUGGACUAAUACUGACACUGAGGUGCGAAAGCGUGGGGAGCAAACAGGAUUAGAUACCCUGGUAGUCCACGCCGUAAACGAUGUCAACUA
RNAcentral lists this ribosomal RNA (770 nucleotides) under unidentified microorganism. RNAcentral's name for it is "bacterial SSU rRNA". It matches the Rfam family "Bacterial small subunit ribosomal RNA", at positions 53 to 818 of the family's 1533-position model. The record is from RNAcentral.